Bubalus bubalis (water buffalo) is the source of this 3561-nucleotide long non-coding RNA. RefSeq lists it as uncharacterized. The transcript has 3 exons. The record is from RefSeq and is a predicted model, not a curated record. Lineage: Eukaryota; Metazoa; Chordata; Mammalia; Artiodactyla; Bovidae.
UUAGACACUUUCAAACAAACUGUUUAAAAAUGUAAAAAUCAUUCUCGGCCUGGGGCUGUACUGAAAAAGGCAAUGGGCUAGAUCUGGCCUGAGCUGUGGUUUGCCAAUGCCUGGUUGAUGGCCUGGGUGUCCUAGUUGAAUGCUUCACCAGCAAGGAUUCUGGGGAGGGGUGACUGGAGACAGAUACCACCCCUCAAGAAGGGAGUGGUCAGUAGCAUUCAGGAGAGAGUGGUUGUUUGAGAAAAAUGUGUGAUGCUGAGUGAGAUGUUAUUUUACAGGUGUGGCUGGUUCCCCAGAAGCUAUUUCCUUGUGAGAGUGAGCUUAUCAAGUGAGGUUAUUCUCAUCCUCUCUUCCGCUCCUCUUCCUAUUCCUUAUCUUCUCUUCCAUAACAUUUCUGAUUCCACUUUUCCACGGUGUCAUUUUUCUAUCUUGUCAAGUUUCCUAUGGCAUCUCAGGCUUUUAGAAUUUUGUAAAUAAAUUUUGUUUUUCCUUACAAAAACAUUCCUGGUAUUGGAAUAUGAUCACCAUCCUUAUCUGAUGAAAUUAAGCUUUCUAUGUGUAAUAUGGACAUAAGAAAUGAACCAUCUGCACGAAAUAUUUGGGAAAGCAUGUACCUUAGGGAGGAAAAGAGACAAAUGCGUGUCCAGAAAAAGUACAACUAACCAGCUCUGAGACUUGGAAGAACCACUUUCUUCCAGGAAGAGAAGCAGGGCAGAGAGACGGAGUUCAGUGUGGGACGUGUGAAGCCUGCAUGGCCUGGAUGAAGUUUGAUAACCAACCAGGAGGACAUAUUUAUUAGGUUGUCAGAUGAUCAGAUCCAGAAUCUGGGACAGAGAUACAGAUUUGGGAAUCAUCAGCCACUUUUGCAAUGGGGUGAGCCUCUGUGUCAGGCAGGAGAGGGGCUGUGUGAUUUCUGAGCUAGGUCAUAAGGUGAUAUGGCUUCUGACUGACUUUCUGUCAGGGAGUGGUCACCCUGGAAGUGUAGCUACCAUGUGGAAACGCAGACCACAUGGAGAAACCAUGCACAGGUGUUGUGGCUGACGUUACCCAGCUACAAGCUCAGCUGCAGCCAGCAUCGGCUGCCAGGAAUGUAACAGAAGUAGGCUCCAGAUGAUCCCAGCCCCCAGUGUCUAAAUCUUCCAGCUGAGAACCCAGCCAUCAAGGAGCAGAAGUUGUCUACAACUCUCAAGAAGGGACUGAGUCUCCUGCAGUGUGCCAGUGAGGCAGAAGCCACCAGACGAUACUAAUGGCAGGAAGCCAGGGAAGAGAACAAGGAAAGGACCCUCCCUCACAAAUGGUGUGAGACAUAGAAGGAGGGAACUUGGGAAAUGACAUGCUCCUCCUUCUCGGAAUCCUGGGCCACAUGGGUGCAUGGGUGAGUGUCACCUCUGAGGUGGACUCAGGUCUUGCACCCACCCCCAUGACCCCUUUCCCCUGGGGCUACAACAGAAGCUAUCUCUUCCAUUCCUGUCCCCUUUGUUCCUGUCCUGGAGUCAGGUCAUAUGGAGAAGGAAAUGGCAAUCCACUCCGGCACUCUUGCCUGGAAAAUCCCAUCUAUGCAGAAGCCUGAUAGACUACAAGUCUGUGGGGUUGCAAAGAGUCGGACGCGACUGAGCAACUUCACUUCACUUUCACUUUCAGGUCAUAUUGGAGUUGUGAAUAAAAACAUCAAGCUUGUCUCAGAGAUUUGCUACACCGAUGGGUUGGAACUUUGGGAAAGUCACUUAUAUCUCUAGCUUUCAGCAUCAUCAUCUGAAAAACAAGUUAAUUCUUGAGUUUAUUAACUGAGUUAAUUCUCGAGGGCAGAAGUGCAUCUUCCAAAGCCUGUAGUCAUGGCUAUGGGCAUGUGAAUCUGACUGGAAUAAAAUAGAUUUGAAAAAAAAAAAGACAAAUAGUAUUACUAGUUCUAGACCUAAAUAACUCUUUGGUUCUCAGCUUUCCUUGCACAGGAAAUGGUUAGAAAAUUAAGUGCUGUUUACCUGUACCCGUUGGUGCAUGCCUUCGAAAUAUUUAUGCCUGGUCCAUGUCAAAGCAAUACAGAAAUGGGAUAGUUUUUAGAAACUUUUGAACCUACUUGACGUUGUUGUGACAUACAACUGUAUGAUCAGUGGGUUGUUUCCUUGAAUAGGGUAUGAACCAGUCUGGGUGCUAUUGAACUUAUGGGUGGUGAGUGGCAUAUGACAUGAGUUAUGUGUCAGUCGCUUGAAGUAGAAACUUGUCUUGGUCUAUAAUUGUUUAGAAAAAAAAGGAAAAAAAAAAGUGGGUUUAAUACCCAGUUAGAUUGAGGCAGAGCUUCCUUACUGUCAUGUCAUUCUUGAAUUACAGCUGUGCCUAGGUGUUGUGCCCUUGACUGUUGGGGCAGCUGGGAGAGGCCUGGGCCAGUUUGGGACCAGUCAGUCAAGUUGCUUCUGGCCAUGAGUAAUUAAUGUGCUCUACAAAUAUUACCAUUUCUAUGUGUGCCAUGAAGUGAAUAAGGGAGAAGUGAAUAAGCUGGAAAUGUUACCUUUUCUCCAAAAGAGCAAAUAGACAAAGAGAGGAGACUGGGAUUAUUGUUUCUUCAACCACAGCCUCCAAGUGAACUGGCCUAAGCUAGAGAUCCAAACUGAAACUGUGCUCCCAGGCAAAAAUGCACAACUUUUCUUCUAUUAAUUAAUAUCCAUUAAUACCUAUUUAUCAAUACCUUUUAAUAUCUAUUAAUUAAUUAAUACCCAUUAAUAUCUAUUAAUACCUCCUAUCUAUUAAUACCUUUCUCUUAUAUUUAAAUUGAAGACUUCCCUGGUUGCCCAGUGGUUAAGAGUCUGCCUGUCAAUGCAGGGGGCACGUGUUUGAUCCCUUGUCCGGGAUGAUUCCAUAUGCGGCAGAGCGACUAAACUCCUGCACCACAACUACUGAAGCCUGGGCGCCCUAGAGCCUGUGCUCCACAACGAGAGAAACCACCACAAUGAGAAGCCUGUGUGCUGCAACUAGAGAAAGCCUGUAUGCAGCAACGAAGACCCAGUGCAGCCAAAAAUAAAUAAAUACAUAAAUAAUAAAUUUAGAAGGAGUUCCUUGGUGACCUAGUGGUUAGGCCUUCACUGCUGUGGUUCAGGUUCAAUCUCUGGUUGGGAAACUGAUAUCCUGCACGCCAUGCGGCACAGCCAAAAAAAAAAAAAAUAGUAAAUUUAGAUUUAUCAUAGAAAUAUAUGCACGUCUCUUAAAAGCAAGCCGUACAAAAGUAGAAAACAUGAGUCACCUGUACCUCCCUCCCCAAGUCCUGUUCAGGUUCCCCGGAGGUAAUUGCUUUCAAACUGGAGCUUCAGUAUUUAUGGAAAGAGGAUCCCACAGAGAAAUGCCCCGAUUUCCCCACGGAACUCCAGUGGGCACGGUGCCGGAGGCACUAGCACCGUCAUGCUCCACUGGGAAGGUUCCAAGUCUGAGCACAUAGCAGUCGGACCAGGGGCCUCCCCAAGGCCACCUCACCCAUCCAUCACAGUCAGGCAGCUCCUCCUUGCCCUGGUUCUUCUCAAACCACCCUCUCUUCCACUCCUUCUCUGCAGAAGUCCAGAGGUUUAAUCUCUGACA